AAGGGCACCACAAGAACGCGUGGAGCAUGUGGCUUAAUUUGACUCAACGCAGGAAAUCUUACCGGGUCCGGACACACUGAGGAUUGACAGACAAGCGCAGUGAGAGAUUCGUCUCUCGCUGUGCAAAAUAUGAUAGCUCUUUCAUAAUUAUGUGAUAGGUGGUGCAUGGCCGUUCUUAGUUCGUGGAGUGAUCUGUCUGCUUAAUUGCGUUUCCAUACAAAGGUGUUCGCAUAAUAUAACGCGUUGUACGUCCGCGUACAUCGUAUUGUAUUGAACCCUUUAGGAAUGCAACGAACGAGACCGCAACCUCUUGUUGCACCUUCAGCUGCUCAAGGUGCUCAACUAGAGGGACAGCUGUAUUUAUUUCUUUUAGCCAGAGGAAGGAUGCGGCAAUAACAGGUCUGUGAUGCCCUCAGAUGUCCCGGGCUGCACACGUGCUACAAUGAUCAUUGCACUGCGCAUCUUCUAACCAAGCUAAUUUAUAUCCCUCACCGGAUAUAUUUUGCUAUACACACCCGAGUCGAUAGACAACCUUCUCGGGUAACCCAUUAGAAGUAAUGAUUUCCUAUAUUUCAGCACAUACAUCGUUAUGUGGUCAUGUGCAUUGCCCACUUUGCGGUGGGUAUGCACUCUAUGAUUACGUAACGCGUGCAAAUAUCAAUUCAUGGUGGGGACAGACCAUUGAUAAUUGUUGGUCUCGGUCUUAACUAGGAAUGCCUUGUACGAGUCGGUUCACCAGACCACUCGGAAUACGUCCCUGCCCUUUGUACACACCGCCCGUCGCUCUUACCGAUGGACUUCGCUGUGAGUUUGAGGGACUGGCUGCAUUUCGCGGCUAUAGAAACUCAAACGAACAGUGUGGUCUAAAGGAAAGAGAAGU
Molecule: ribosomal RNA, 880 nt
Filed under: Cribroelphidium frigidum
Lineage: Eukaryota; Foraminifera; Rotaliida; Elphidiidae
Description: SSU rRNA
Rfam family: Eukaryotic small subunit ribosomal RNA
Source: RNAcentral